UAGAGUUUGAUCCUGGCUCAGGAUGAACGCUAGCGGCGGGCCUAAUACAUGCAAGUCGAGGGGUAUAAGUCUUUCGGGACUUAGAGACCGGCGCACGGGUGCGUAACACGUAUGUAACUUGCCCCUAACAGGAGGAUAGCCUUCCGAAAGGAAGAUUAAUACUCCAUAGUAUAUUAGAGAGGCAUCUUUUUAAUAUUAAAGCUGAGGCGGUUAGGGAUAGGCAUGCGUCCCAUUAGCUAGUUGGUAAGGUAACGGCUUACCAAGGCAACGAUGGGUAGGGGGCCUGAGAGGGUGAUCCCCCACACUGGUACUGAGACACGGACCAGACUCCUACGGGAGGCAGCAGUAAGGAAUAUUGGGCAAUGGACGCGAGUCUGACCCAGCCACGCCGCGUGCAGGAAGACGGCCCUAGAGGUUGUAAACUGCUUUUGUAUGGGAAGAACAAUCCCGACGGGUCGGGAUCUGACGGUACCAUAAGAAUAAGCAUCGGCUAACUCCGUGCCAGCAGCCGCGGUAAUACGGGGGAUGCAAGCGUUAUCCGGAUUCAUUGGGUUUAAAGGGUGCGUAGGCGGGAUGCUAAGUCAGGGGUGAAAUCUCACAGCUUAACUGUGAAACUGCCUUUGAUACUGGUGUCCUUG
This 638-nucleotide ribosomal RNA is filed under the name uncultured bacterium. RNAcentral describes it as "bacterial SSU rRNA". It matches the Rfam family "Bacterial small subunit ribosomal RNA", at positions 1 to 644 of the family's 1533-position model. The record is from RNAcentral.